Leptopilina heterotoma is the source of this 629-nucleotide long non-coding RNA. RefSeq lists it as uncharacterized. The transcript is spliced from 3 exons. NCBI's taxonomy places the organism in Eukaryota, Metazoa, Arthropoda, Insecta, Hymenoptera, Figitidae. The record is from RefSeq and is a predicted model, not a curated record.
UGUUGCAUGUCAGCAUGUGUUCCUGAAAGUUGUUCGAAAGCAGAUGAUACUUUUUAACAAUUAAUUGUUUAUUACUACCAUCGUUACAUUUACCUACAACAAUUGUAAAUAUUGAGGAAAUUCCACUGCAAUUUGUAAAGCAAACUUUCCGAAACAAAAAGUUAUCAAACCUAAUGUGCAGGAAACUAUAAAUUGGUACCUCGUCCUGGCAAGAAAGAAUCCUGGGGUGCUGGAUCCAUGAUCCCAAAAUGUCAACUUAAAAAGGGAAACAUUCAUAAUGACUUAUUGUUCAUUUGCUGGUCUCACACCAGGAAGAAAGGUGACAGGAUGAAAACAGUGAGAGGGAAUUUGUCUGCGAAUAAGUUUGGCUUUGAGAAAGGUGACAAAAAGUUUGAGCUUUUGAUUCACCGAUAAUAGAUUUCUAUGCUGCGUUGCGUUUAUAAUGGCUGAUAUAUCUAUUGAAGUUGAAACAUCAAGACUUGUCAUAAUAUUCUGGUUGGUAUUGCAAAAUAUUUUCUGCACGUGAAAUUACGAACAAGUGUUCCUUUGAUGUCGCUCAGGUAGAAAAAUAUCCUAAUCCCCUUUGGCCACGUAAACUGAAAAAAUAACAAACUUUCUAUUAUUCUUUU